CUCCACUUUUACUCAAGGAGCCCCGCCACUGAUACUGCAAGUAUGGUUCAGAACUAACCAAAUUCAAAGAUUCCGAUAAUGGAGGUGGCGGGGGAGGCGGGGAACUAGGUGGAGGAGGAAUAUUAGGUGGGUCAGGAUAAGGUGGUGGAGGCGGGGAUGAAGGUAAUGGAGGCUGCAAGACAGGUGGAGGUAAUGGGGGUAAUGAGUCGAGCUGAGGAGGUGGUGGUGGUAAAGACGUAACUGGUGGUCGAACAACAGGCACGGGAAACAUAUGAUCAAAUGGUGGCAUGGAGGUGCCUUGCAUCUGUGACAGUGGAGUCACAGAAGCAGGUACAAAUGGUGGUGCAACUGAACAAUGGUGGAGAUUAGUAGGAAGUGCACCAGAUGGAAUUGGAUUUGGAGGCAAGUUAUGGUUCAGACCACGUGAAUCCCACCCAGUUGGGGGGAAGUACAUUGGGAGCCCAAAGGGCGGCGGUUGUGCUUGCUGUGGUGGUGCAAUAGGAGGUCCUUGAAUUGGCUGUGCUGCUGCAGGAGGAAGUGCUUGAACUGGCGGCGGCACGGUAGG
Molecule: long non-coding RNA, 565 nt
Filed under: Nicotiana tabacum (common tobacco)
Lineage: Eukaryota; Viridiplantae; Streptophyta; Magnoliopsida; Solanales; Solanaceae
Description: long non-coding RNA (NTAB_LNC006794)
Source: RNAcentral